CCGCGCCAUUUUCAAGAACACUUGUCGGAAUAAAUAAUGGAGGAAUUUCAAACGACUGACGGCAGAGGAAAACAUAACCAGGUUUUUACAUGGCUGCAGCAAGUCUUUGGCCAAGAUCAUAUUCCCCAGUUUGAGAUAAACAGCUUCACUUUGAAUGUACUGGAACGACUUGCGAAAAGAAAUCUGAAACAGAAUAAGCAUGCUGAACUUGUCACAAAGGACCGUACUCAGAAGACGGUGGAAUAUUCUGCUGAAGUUGAAAGACUCAGCAGGAUAACAGAACAAGUGGGUUUACCAGUAUCCUGCAUGUCACAGUCAGGACGCAUGAGUUUAAAAACCCUAGCAUCUAUGGCCUUGUUGCUUGGGACCAAAGACUGCUCCACUUCAAGUCUUCUGUUGGGCAUUGCUGAACAAAACCAGGCCCUGUCUGCUGCAGUGGAUGCUAACACAGAGGAGAAACGACUUCUGUCCAGAUUAGUGGUGAAGACAAAGAAAGCACAAGCUGAUGCUUCUGAUCUACAGAGGUCUCUUGAUGGUCUCCAGGAUCAAAUAGCAUUACAGACUCCUCAGCUGAAGAAAAAUGCACAAGAAACUGACUUUGUUAAACUCAAGUGUAAAGAAUAUGAGAAAAGCAACAGGGAACUUGAGGGAUAUCAAAGCAAAGCACAGUUAGAUUCCUCAAUCUACCACAAUUCCCUUGUUAAGAAGGCAGAGGUAUCAACUUAAGCCAUCCUAUUCACUGUACUUGUGUACUCUACCUGAUCAGAGGUCACUCCUUUAUACUGAUCACUUUGGAAAUUUAUUGUGAAAGGUUCUGUUAAAAGGAAGUGAGACUAAUUGAAGAAAAGAUGAAACCAAUGAAGAGGAAGUUAGAGGGUUACCAUAGCCUUCCACCUGAUAUUUCUCAAGCUAAGGU
RNAcentral lists this unclassified non-coding RNA (916 nucleotides) under Pocillopora damicornis (cauliflower coral). Its description in RNAcentral is "hAUS augmin-like complex subunit 1, transcript variant X1". Lineage: Eukaryota; Metazoa; Cnidaria; Anthozoa; Scleractinia; Pocilloporidae. The record is from RNAcentral.